AAGAUGUCCAGCAGAUAGUGCCAUUUUGUUCCUCCAUCAAGAUUCCCAGUAAGGCCAUAAAGCUGAUGUCCGAGGGCUCCUGUUAUGGAUCAAAGCGUGAGCAUCAGGAAUCCAUCACUGGCCAACUUCUGUGAGGAUCUUUAACUCCUCUAACCCGGGAUGCAGGCCUUUCAAAGAAGCAGUAACAAUCGUGCAAUGGUGGAUCAGAAACAGAAUUGGAGCUAUUUUAUCUGGACCUAAUUAAACAACCUUCAUUACUGGCAGUAGCCUCUCUGAAUGCACCUGUG
Nothoprocta perdicaria is the source of this 287-nucleotide long non-coding RNA. RefSeq lists it as uncharacterized. The transcript is spliced from 4 exons. NCBI's taxonomy places the organism in Eukaryota, Metazoa, Chordata, Aves, Tinamiformes, Tinamidae. The record is from RefSeq and is a predicted model, not a curated record.